This 490-nucleotide ribosomal RNA is filed under the name uncultured bacterium. Its description in RNAcentral is "partial 16S ribosomal RNA". It matches the Rfam family "Bacterial small subunit ribosomal RNA", at positions 30 to 507 of the family's 1533-position model. The record is from RNAcentral.
AUUGAACGCUGGCGGCAGGCCUAACACAUGCAAGUCGAACGGUAACAGGAAGCAGCUUGCUGCUUCGCUGACGAGUGGCGGACGGGUGAGUAAUGUCUGGGAAGCUGCCUGAUGGAGGGGGAUAACUACUGGAAACGGUAGCUAAUACCGCAUAAUGUCGCAAGACCAAAGAGGGGGACCUUCGGGCCUCUUGCCAUCGGAUGUGCCCAGAUGGGAUUAGCUUGUUGGUGGGGUAACGGCUCACCAAGGCGGCGAUCCCUAGCUGGUCUGAGAGGAUGACCAGCCACACUGGAACUGAGACACGGUCCAGACUCCUACGGGAGGCAGCAGUGGGGAAUAUUGCACAAUGGGCGCAAGCCUGAUGCAGCCAUGCCGCGUGUAUGAAGAAGGCCUUCGGGUUGUAAAGUACUUUCAGCGGGGAGGAAGGGAGUAAAGUUAAUACCUUUGCUCAUUGACGUUACCCGCAGAAGAAGCACCGGCUAACUCCGUG